GUCCGGCUGACUAGUCCCAAACAGGAAGAAACGCGCGUCCUGGAU
Molecule: non-coding RNA, 45 nt
Filed under: Schistosoma curassoni
Lineage: Eukaryota; Metazoa; Platyhelminthes; Trematoda; Strigeidida; Schistosomatidae
Source: RNAcentral